UCGAGGAUCUUCGGCAAUGGGCGCAAGCCUGACCGAGCGACGCCGCGUGUGCGAUGAAGGCCUUCGGGUUGUAAAGCACUGUCGAGGGGGAGAAAGCCGCAAGGUUGAUCGAUCCCUGGAGGAAGCACGGGCUAAGUUCGUGCCAGCAGCCGCGGUAAGACGAACCGUGCGAACGUUGUUCGGAAUCACUGGGCUUAAAGGGCGCGUAGGCGGCAGGCCAAGUCCGCGGUGAAAGCCCCCGGCUCAACCGGGGAAGUGCCGUGGAGACUGGCGUGCUCGAGGGAGGUAGGGGCCGAGGGAACUUCUGGUGGAGCGGUGAAAUGCGUUGAUAUCAGAAGGAACGCCGGUGGCGAAAGCGCUCGGCUGGACCUCUACUGACGCUGAGGCGCGAAAGCUAGGGGAGCGAACGGGAUUAGAUACCCGCGUAGUCC
RNAcentral lists this ribosomal RNA (431 nucleotides) under uncultured bacterium. RNAcentral's name for it is "bacterial SSU rRNA". It matches the Rfam family "Bacterial small subunit ribosomal RNA", at positions 355 to 796 of the family's 1533-position model. The record is from RNAcentral.